GCCAGCAUGGCAUAGUGGUCUGAGUGCUGGACUAUAACUCUGGAGACCAGGGUUGAAUUCCCAGCUCAGCCU
RNAcentral lists this transfer RNA (72 nucleotides) under Phrynosoma platyrhinos (Desert horned lizard). RNAcentral describes it as "tRNA-OTHER". The record is from RNAcentral. Lineage: Eukaryota; Metazoa; Chordata; Lepidosauria; Squamata; Phrynosomatidae.